AGAGUUUGAUCAUGGCUCAGAUUGAACGCUGGCGGUAGGCUUAACACAUGCAAGUCGAGCGGAAACGAUGUAGCUUGCUACAGGCGUCGAGCGGCGGACGGGUGAGUAACGCGUAGGAAUCUGCCUAGUAGUGGGGGACAACCUGUGGAAACGCAGGCUAAUACCGCAUAAGCCCUGAGGGGGAAAGGAGGGGAUCUUCGGACCUUUCGCUAUUAGAUGAGCCUGCGUGAGAUUAGCUAGUUGGUGAGGUAAAGGCUCACCAAGGCGACGAUCUCUAGCUGGUCUGAGAGGAUGAUCAGCCACACUGGGACUGAGACACGGCCCAGACUCCUACGGGAGGCAGCAGUGGGGAAUAUUGGACAAUGGGCGCAAGCCUGAUCCAGCCAUACCGCGUGCGUGAAGAAGGCCCUAGGGUUGUAAAGCACUUUCAGAAGGGAGGAAAGGUUGAUGCUUAAUACGUAUUAGCUGUGACGUUACCUUCAGAAGAAGCACCGGCUAACUCUGUGCCAGCAGCCGCGGUAAU
RNAcentral lists this ribosomal RNA (523 nucleotides) under uncultured bacterium. Its description in RNAcentral is "bacterial SSU rRNA". It matches the Rfam family "Bacterial small subunit ribosomal RNA", at positions 8 to 524 of the family's 1533-position model. The record is from RNAcentral.